AUUGAACGCUGGCGGCGUGCUUAACACAUGCAAGUCGAUCGGUAACAGGUGUAGCAAUACAUGCUGACGAGAGGCGGACGGGUGAGGAACGCUUGGGAAUCUGCCCAUCAGCGGGGGACAACCCGGGGAAACUCGGGCUAAUACCGCAUACGCUCUAUGGAGGAAAGCCGGGGACCGCAAGGCCUGGCACUGAUGGAUGAGCUCAAGUCGGAUUAGCUAGUUGGCGGGGUAACAGCCCACCAAGGCUACGAUCCGUAGCUGGUCUGAGAGGACGAUCAGCCACACCGGAACUGAGACACGGUCCGGACUCCUACGGGAGGCAGCAGUGGGGAAUAUUGGACAAUGGGGGAAACCCUGAUCCAGCGACGCCGCGUGGGUGAAGAAGGCCUGCGGGUUGUAAAGCCCUUUCGGUAGGGACGAAAACUCUUGAUCUAAUAAAUCAGGGGAUUGACUUAACCUACAAAAGAAGCACCGGCUAACUCUGUGCCAGCAGCCGCGGUAAUACAGAGGGUGCGAGCGUUAAUCGGAAUUACUGGGCGUAAAGCGCACGUAGGCGGCUCUGUAAGUCGGUUGUGAAAUCCCCGGGCUCAACCUGGGAACUGCAUCCGAAACUACAUUGCUAGAGUAUGGGAGAGGGAGGCGGAAUUUCCGGUGUAGCAGUGAAAUCCGUAGAUAUGAGAAGGAACACCAGAGGCGAAGGCGCCUUCCUGGACAAGUAUUGACGCUGAGGCGCGAAAGCGUGGGGAUCAAACAGGAUUAGAUACCCUGGUAGUCCACGCUGUAAACGAUGAAUACUAGAUAUUGGGGGAUUUGACCCCUUCAGUGUCGUAGCUAACGCGUUAAGUAUUCCGCCUGGGAAGUACGGUCGCAAGACUAAAACUCAAAGGAAUUGACGGGGGCCCGCACAAGCGGUGGAUUAUGUGGUUUAAUUCGAAGCAACGCGCAAAACCUUACCUAGGCUUGAAAUCCCACGAACCCGGCCCAAAAGCUGGGGUGCUCUUCGGAGAAUGUGGUGACAGGCGCUGCAUGGCUGUCGUCAGCUCGUGUCGUGAGAUGUUGGGUUAAGUCUCGCAACGAGCGCAACCCCUAUCCUUAGUUGCCAGCAUUAAGUUGGGCACUCUAGGGAGACUGCCUGGGCUAACCAGGAGGAAGGUGGGGAUGACGUCAAGUCCUCAUGGCCCUUAUGUCUAGGGCUACACACGUAAUACAAUGGUCGGUACAGAGGGAUGCGAACUUGCGAAAGGGAGCAAAUCUCAAAAAACCGAUCUCAGUCCGGAUUGAAGUCUGCAACUCGACUUCAUGAAGUUGGAAUCGCUAGUAAUCGCGGAUCAGCACGCCGCGGUGAAUACGUUCCCGGGCCUUGUACACACCGCCCGUCACACCAUGGGAGUUGUUUUUACCUGAAGCCGUGACCUUAACCGCAAGGAGAGGAGCGUCUACGGUCGAAACGAUGACUGGGGUG
Molecule: ribosomal RNA, 1462 nt
Filed under: uncultured bacterium
Lineage: Bacteria
Description: bacterial SSU rRNA
Rfam family: Bacterial small subunit ribosomal RNA
Source: RNAcentral